ACACUGGAAAUAAGAUGAUGGUGUG
Molecule: non-coding RNA, 25 nt
Filed under: Cricetulus griseus (Chinese hamster)
Lineage: Eukaryota; Metazoa; Chordata; Mammalia; Rodentia; Cricetidae
Source: RNAcentral